Molecule: ribosomal RNA, 468 nt
Filed under: uncultured bacterium
Lineage: Bacteria
Description: partial 16S ribosomal RNA
Rfam family: Bacterial small subunit ribosomal RNA
Source: RNAcentral
GACGAACGCUGGCGGCGUGCUUAACACAUGCAAGUCGAACGGAAAGGCCCUGCUUUUGUGGGGUGCUCGAGUGGCGAACGGGUGAGUAACACGUGAGUAACCUGCCCUUGACUUUGGGAUAACUUCAGGAAACUGGGGCUAAUACCGGAUAGGAGCUCCUGCUGCAUGGUGGGGGUUGGAAAGUUUCGGCGGUUGGGGAUGGACUCGCGGCUUAUCAGCUUGUUGGUGGGGUAGUGGCUUACCAAGGCUUUGACGGGUAGCCGGCGUGAGAGGGUGACCGGCGACAUUGGGACUGAGAUACGGCCCAGACUCCUACGGGAGGCAGCAGUGGGGAAUAUUGCACAAUGGGCGGAAGCCUGAUGCAGCAACGCCGCGUGCGGGAUGACGGCCUUCGGGGUGUAAACCGCUUUCGCCUGUGACGAAGCGUGAGUGACGGUAAUGGGUAAAGAAGCACCGGCUAACUACGUG